UGAGACAGGUGCUGCAUGGCUGUCGUCAGCUCGUGUUGUGAAAUGUUGGGUUAAGUCCCGCAACGAGCGCAACCCUUAUCCUUUGUUGCCAGCGGUCCGGCCGGGAACUCAAAGGAGACUGCCAGUGAUAAACUGGAGGAAGGUGGGGAUGACGUCAAGUCAUCAUGGCCCUUACGACCAGGGCUACACACGUGCUACAAUGGCGCAUACAAAGAGAAGCGACCUCGCGAGAGCAAGCGGACCUCAUAAAGUGCGUCGUAGUCCGGAUUGGAGUCUGCAACUCGACUCCAUGAAGUCGGAAUCGCUAGUAAUCGUGGAUCAGAAUGCCACGGUGAAUACGUUCCCGGGCCUUGUACACACCGCCCGUCACACCAUGGGAGUGGGUUGCAAAAGAAGUAGGUAGCUUAACCUUCGGGAGGGCGCUUACCACUUUGUGAUUCAUGACUGGGGUGAAGUCGUAACAAGGUAACCGUAGGGGAACCUGCGGUUGGAUCACCUCCUU
This 502-nucleotide ribosomal RNA is filed under the name Escherichia coli. RNAcentral describes it as "bacterial SSU rRNA". It matches the Rfam family "Bacterial small subunit ribosomal RNA", at positions 1030 to 1532 of the family's 1533-position model. RNAcentral also lists the same sequence under 2 other names. Lineage: Bacteria; Pseudomonadati; Pseudomonadota; Gammaproteobacteria; Enterobacterales; Enterobacteriaceae. The record is from RNAcentral.